Long non-coding RNA from Patiria miniata (bat star), 1479 nucleotides. RefSeq lists it as uncharacterized. NCBI's taxonomy places the organism in Eukaryota, Metazoa, Echinodermata, Asteroidea, Valvatida, Asterinidae. The transcript has 2 exons. The record is from RefSeq and is a predicted model, not a curated record.
AUCAUGCUUUUUGCCUAGGGCCCUCUCGCGGCCAACUAAACUCUUUUUACAGCGCGCGCCGCCUAGAAUUUUGAUCAACUAUGCGAUGGGCGUAUCGAGCAUGCGAGUUUUACAUUCCACCGCGCUUUGUUUAAGAGGAAUAGCUGACAUUCCGGGCGUUUCGGUAUAGUUUUCUUGUAGGGCUAGGUCCAAAAUAUUGUUGAUUCCGUUCCAACUCUGCUUUGGGUUGACAUCUAUCUGCCUGGUUCUGCUCCUGCUUUGCGACCAGCAUUUACAGCGAGCAUUGCACACUCCACUUUUUCUGCAAGUUUUGGGUGCGGCUCCCCGAUAGCAGCAAUAUAAUUUUAUAUCCGGCGUUGCCGGCAUUGCAUUUUACAAUAUUUUUGCUGCUUCUACAUCGAUUUUAACAUCGGACACGGAGUAGGCAUGAGCGUAGACCAUCCCAAGUGAUACCAUCCUUGGAGUGACAGUUCACCACCCUAUUGUCCCUUUUUGACUGUCGUUUUUAUAGACCCAACAAAGUUCUGUUUUUAUAUACUCACCAAAGUUCCUAAUAUAAUUCUUUUUGUAAAUACUGUACUUGAUAAUUUGUAUAUAUAUUGUCUCAUAUUUGUGCUGUAAAUAAACCAUUUGAUAUUCUUGAGACAAACAGAAACUUCGCUCCACCCAAAUCAGUUUUUAGUGGAACCCCUCGGUUGAAAGGAGAGUGCCACAUUUUUAACUAACUAAAUUUCGCUCUCCCCGGUUACAUAUUAUUAUUUCUUUUUGUUGGGGGGGGGGGGAGGGAGCAUUGUAUAUUGGAGAAAAAUAGGAGGUUUUAUCAUUUUAGGCCGCGCAGAUCCACUAUGCAAGUAGACUGGUUCAUGAUGUCCCUUUUCAUUGUAUAAUCGAUUCUAAACGGAUAUGGGAUUGACUCCAAUGAGAACGCAAACAGUUAAAUUAUAUAAACUUACUUGCCAAUAGUAAAAUCGUCCUGAUAUUUUUGUUGACAAAGUUCGUUCAAAUUGUGUAACUUUUGAAUUACUAAGAUAGCAAUGUUUAAAAACCAAUUGUGUUUUCGGGAUGAAACUCAAAAAUGAACGGAAAACAUAAAAUAUGUUGUCAGAAAACUCAGUCCCACGUUGCCCUUUAGAAUAAUAUUUUACGUUAAAGUUACUUCUGGCAUAACUAGUAGUCACCCGGAGAUGUACGCCUACCCAGCUUAGCAAUUUCAGGACAUUUAAAUCCUUGCUAAAGGUUAAUAUAUGCAUAUAAAUAGACUUGUGCCCAUCCUUGCUGAAGAUGAAUACAUGUAUAAUUAUAUAAACAAAAUCUGACACAAGAGGCUUUAAUGUGUUAUUUUUAAAUAGGCGAACUGAAAGCGACAUUGUACUGUUAUAUCAGAUUUAUACUAGCUUUGUAAUAAUAAUGAUUGACGAAGGUUUGCUUCCAUGCAUUCACCGGAUACAUUCUUUGUAAUAAAUGUAGAAACAGUAAGUC